UGGCUCAGACGGUAAAGCAUCUGCCCGCAAUGCAGGAGACCUGGGUUCGAUCCCCGG
Molecule: transfer RNA, 57 nt
Filed under: Ovis aries (sheep)
Lineage: Eukaryota; Metazoa; Chordata; Mammalia; Artiodactyla; Bovidae
Rfam family: tRNA
About the family: Transfer RNA (tRNA) molecules are approximately 80 nucleotides in length. Their secondary structure includes four short double-helical elements and three loops (D, anti-codon, and T loops).
Source: Rfam by way of RNAcentral